UACGUAGGGACCAAGCGUUGUUCGGAUUUACUGGGCGUAAAGGGCGCGUAGGCGGCGUGGUAAGUCACUUGUGAAAUCUCUGAGCUUAACUCAGAACGGCCAAGUGAUACUGCUGUGCUAGAGUGCAGAAGGGGCAAUCGGAAUUCUUGGUGUAGCGGUGAAAUGCGUAGAUAUCAAGAGGAACACCUGAGGUGAAGACGGGUUGCUGGGCUGACACUGACGCUGAGGCGCGAAAGCUAGGGGAGCAAACGGG
RNAcentral lists this ribosomal RNA (253 nucleotides) under uncultured bacterium. Its description in RNAcentral is "partial 16S ribosomal RNA". It matches the Rfam family "Bacterial small subunit ribosomal RNA", at positions 524 to 776 of the family's 1533-position model. The record is from RNAcentral.